GUAGAGGAUGCUUCUGGGCAGCGGCCGGUCUAAGUUCCUUGGAACAGGACGUCAUAGAGGGUGAGAAUCCCGUAUGCGACCGGUUGGCACCCGUCACGUAGCUCCUUCGACGAGUCGAGUUGUUUGGGAAUGCAGCUCUAAAUGGGAGGUAAAUUCCUUCUAAAGCUAAAUACCGGCCAGAGACCGAUAGCGCACAAGUAGAGUGAUCGAAAGAUGAAAAGCACUUUGGAAAGAGAGUUAAAAAGCACGUGAAAUUGUUAAAAGGGAAGCGCAUGCAACCAGACUUGUCGGCGGUGUUCCGCCGGUCUUCUGACCGGUCUACUCAUCGUUGGCAGGCCAGCAUCACUUGGGAGCGCCGGAUAAAGGCGCUGGGAAUGUGGCUCUUCGGAGUGUUAUAGCCCAGCGCACAAUACGGCGUCCCCCGAGUGAGGUCCGCGCUUCGGCUAGGAUGCUGGCGUAAUGGUUGUAUGCGGCCCGUCUUGAAACACGGACCAAGGAGUCUAACAUCUAUGCGAGUGUUCGGGUGUCAAACCCCUACGCGUAAUGAAAGUGAACGGAGGUGGGAACUUUACUGUGCACCAUCGACCGAUCCUGAUGUCCUCGGAUGGAUUUGAGUAAGAGCAUAGCUGUUGGGACCCGAAAGAUGGUGAACUAUGCCUGAAUAGGGUGAAGCCAGAGGAAACUCUGGUGGAGGCUCGCAGCGGUUCUGACGUGCAAAUCGAUCGUCAAAUUUGGGUAUAGGGGCGAAAGACUAAUCGAACCAUCUAGUAGCUGGUUCCU
This 780-nucleotide ribosomal RNA is filed under the name Neodevriesiaceae sp. TRN232. RNAcentral describes it as "eukaryotic LSU rRNA". It matches the Rfam family "Eukaryotic large subunit ribosomal RNA", at positions 151 to 959 of the family's 3401-position model. Lineage: Eukaryota; Fungi; Ascomycota; Dothideomycetes; Mycosphaerellales; Neodevriesiaceae. The record is from RNAcentral.